Molecule: non-coding RNA, 102 nt
Filed under: Trichlorobacter ammonificans
Lineage: Bacteria; Pseudomonadati; Thermodesulfobacteriota; Desulfuromonadia; Geobacterales; Geobacteraceae
Description: Trichlorobacter sp. G1 TPP
Rfam family: TPP riboswitch aptamer (THI element)
About the family: Vitamin B(1) in its active form thiamin pyrophosphate (TPP) is an essential coenzyme that is synthesised by coupling of pyrimidine and thiazole moieties in bacteria. The previously detected thiamin-regulatory element, thi box was extended, resulting in a new, highly conserved RNA secondary structure, the THI element, which is widely distributed in eubacteria and also occurs in some archaea. Analysis of operon structures identified a large number of new candidate thiamin-regulated genes, mostly transporters, in various prokaryotic organisms.
Source: RNAcentral
UGCAAGCCCUGGGGGAGCCGUUUCCGGCUGAGACAGCAUGCUGCUGAACCCCUCGUACCUGAACCGGAUAAUGCCGGCGGAGGAAAGUGGCUGCGGCGCCCG